Molecule: transfer RNA, 75 nt
Filed under: Thermoproteota archaeon
Lineage: Archaea; Thermoproteati; Thermoproteota
Description: Crenarchaeota archaeon (hot springs metagenome) tRNA-Met
Rfam family: tRNA
About the family: Transfer RNA (tRNA) molecules are approximately 80 nucleotides in length. Their secondary structure includes four short double-helical elements and three loops (D, anti-codon, and T loops). Further hydrogen bonds mediate the characteristic L-shaped molecular structure. tRNAs have two regions of fundamental functional importance: the anti-codon, which is responsible for specific mRNA codon recognition, and the 3' end, to which the tRNAs corresponding amino acid is attached (by aminoacyl-tRNA synthetases). tRNAs cope with the degeneracy of the genetic code in two manners: having more than one tRNA (with a specific anti-codon) for a particular amino acid; and 'wobble' base-pairing, i.e. permitting non-standard base-pairing at the 3rd anti-codon position.
Source: RNAcentral
GGGCCCGUAGCUCAGCUAGGUUAGAGCACCCGGCUCAUAACCGGGGGGUCGCCGGUUCAAAUCCGGCCGGGCCCA